AAGGAUCAUUAUUGAAUACGAAUUGGAGCUGAUGCUGGCCUUCGGGCAUGUGCUCGCUUCAAGUCUAUUUAUCUUCUCUUGUGCACCUCUUGUAGUCCUUUGAAAAAAGUGAACCCCUCGCAGCAAUGCGGUAUGGGGGAUUUGAGCCUAACCCGCUCUUCCCCUGCUUGCUUUUCUUCAAGGCUAUGUUUUCAUAUACACUAUAAAGUUACAGAAUGUCUUUUAACGGCUGCUUGCAGUCAUUAAACCUAUACAACUUUCAGCAACGGAUCUCUUGGCUCUCCCAUCGAUGAAGAACGCAGCGAAAUGCGAUAAGUAAUGUGAAUUGCAGAAUUCAGUGAAUCAUCGAAUCUUUGAACGCACCUUGCGCCCUUUGGUAUUCCGAAGGGCAUGCCUGUUUGAGUGUCAUUAACUUCUCAACCUUUUAGCUCGCGCUAUUAGGCUUGGAUGUGAGGGUUUUGCUGGCUUCCUUCAGUGGAUGGUCUGCUCCCUUUAAAUGCAUUAGUGGGAUCUCUUGUGGACCGUCACUUGGUGUGAUAAUUUAUCUAUGCCUCGUUGACUUUGGAGCAAAUUUUAUGGGAACCUGCUUAUAACCGUCUCGCAAGGGACAAAUUUUCUGACAUUUUGACCUCAAAUCAGGUAGGACUACCCGCUGAACUUAA
This 662-nucleotide ribosomal RNA is filed under the name uncultured fungus. RNAcentral describes it as "eukaryotic LSU rRNA". The stretch from base 255 to 408 matches the Rfam family "5.8S ribosomal RNA". Lineage: Eukaryota; Fungi. The record is from RNAcentral.